Podarcis lilfordi (Lilford's wall lizard) is the source of this 71-nucleotide non-coding RNA. Lineage: Eukaryota; Metazoa; Chordata; Lepidosauria; Squamata; Lacertidae. The record is from the annotation of a GenBank genome assembly.
UUUAGCUCAGUUGGUAGAGCAUGAGACUCCUAAUCUCAAGCUUGUGAGUUUGAGCCCCACUUUGAGCAAAA